RNAcentral lists this ribosomal RNA (809 nucleotides) under uncultured Bacillota bacterium. Its description in RNAcentral is "bacterial SSU rRNA". It matches the Rfam family "Bacterial small subunit ribosomal RNA", at positions 1 to 799 of the family's 1533-position model. The record is from RNAcentral. Lineage: Bacteria; Bacillati; Bacillota.
AGGGAGUUUGAUCCUGGCUCAGGAUGAACGCUGGCGGCACGCCUAACACAUGCAAGUCGAACGAAGCGUCCCGCCCGAUGAAAUGGAGUGCUUGCACAAAGUAGAAUCAAUUGGGAUGACUUAGUGGCGGACGGGUGAGUAACGCGUGGGUAACCUGCCUUACACAGGGGGACAACAGUUGGAAACGACUGCUAAUACCGCAUAACCCGCUAGUAUCGCAUGAUACAGACGGAAAAGAUUUAUCGGUGUAAGAUGGACCCGCGUCUGAUUAGCUAGUUGGUGAGGUAACGGCUCACCAAGGCGACGAUCAGUAGCCGGCCUGAGAGGGUGAACGGCCACAUUGGGACUGAGACACGGCCCAAACUCCUACGGGAGGCAGCAGUGGGGAAUAUUGGACAAUGGGGGAAACCCUGAUCCAGCGACGCCGCGUGAGUGAAGAAGUAUUUCGGUAUGUAAAGCUCUAUCAGCAGGGAAGAAAAUGACGGUACCUGACUAAGAAGCCCCGGCUAACUACGUGCCAGCAGCCGCGGUAAUACGUAGGGGGCAAGCGUUAUCCGGAUUUACUGGGUGUAAAGGGAGCGUAGACGGCAAAGUAAGUCUGAAGUGAAAGCCCAGGGCUCAACCCUGGAACUGCUUUGGAAACUAUUUAGCUAGAGUGCAGGAGAGGUAAGUGGAAUUCCUAGUGUAGCGGUGAAAUGCGUAGAUAUUAGGAGGAACACCGGCGGCGAAGGCGGCUUACUGGACUGUAACUGACGUUGAGGCUCGAAAGCGUGGGGAGCAAACAGGAUUAGAUACCCUGGUAGUCCCCU